RNAcentral lists this ribosomal RNA (397 nucleotides) under uncultured bacterium. RNAcentral's name for it is "partial 16S ribosomal RNA". It matches the Rfam family "Bacterial small subunit ribosomal RNA", at positions 523 to 918 of the family's 1533-position model. The record is from RNAcentral.
CUACGUAGGUGGCAAGCGUUGUCCGGAAUUAUUGGGCGUAAAGCGCGCGCAGGUGGUUCCUUAAGUCUGAUGUGAAAGCCCCCGGCUCAACCGGGGAGGGUCAUUGGAAACUGGGGAACUUGAGUGCAGAAGAGGAUAGUGGAAUUCCAAGUGUAGCGGUGAAAUGCGUAGAGAUUUGGAGGAACACCAGUGGCGAAGGCGACUGUUUGGUCUGUAACUGACACUGAGGCGAGAAAGCGUGGGGAGCAAACAGGAUUAGAUACCCUGGUAGUCCACGCCGUAAACGAUGAGUGCUAAGUGUUGGGGGGUUUCCGCCCCUCAGUGCUGCAGCUAACGCAUUAAGCACUCCGCCUGGGGAGUACGGUCGCAAGACUGAAACUCAAAUGAAUUGACGGGG